UAUUUUCUUUGACUCCCACCAGUCCCACUACUCCCACCCUAAAUCCGUUAAGUUAGGUAAAGUUAGGAUAAGGACAAUGCGUGUGUGACGAGUCGUAAAUUAUACAUUGAAAAUUUUCGAAAAUAACAAGGUAUUCUGUGGUGAAUAGAACUAAUCGAACAUGAUGAAGGUGAUUGACGUGAGUGCAGAAAACGUUAACGAAAGUGUGUUGAAACUGAGAAACAGCAUUCACUAUGGAGAAAUGAAGGGCGCUUACAAUAUCGUGAUGGCUACUCUCUCUGUGCUCAAGGAAAUUGUCAAUAAUACAGAAUGGAAUACAGCCAAAGAUUUAAUGGAUAUUGUUAUGCGGAAUGGAAAGUACCUGAUUAAGAUGCUUCCCCUUGAAACUUGUAUUGGAAAUAUGGUAAGAAGGGUGUUGCAGAUUAUCAGGGAAGAAUAUACCUCGGAAUUAAAGAAUAAGACAGACGAGAUGUACCCCCAAGAGUCCUUACACAAAAUUCUUACUGCCGAGAAUGACCAGCAGAUAGACUUUGAUGUUUCGAUACCUUACCUCAAAGCCUCCGUCAUUGAACACAUUAACGAAUUUGAAACUGAGGUAGAAACAUGUGCAGAAAAUAUUACACGACAAGCGCCCAAGCAUAUACACUCAAAUGAAAUUAUAAUGACCAUUGGUAAAUCAAAAUUAGUGGAAGAAUUUUUCAAAAAAGCUGCUGCUUCUAGAGCCUUCGAGAUUAUAGUAGCCGAGGGUGGACCCUCUUUAAGUGGCCAAGAAAUGGCGGUAAACCUGGCCAAGGCAAAGAUCAAGACCACAUUGAUAUCGGAUGUGGCCAUCUUUGCUAUGAUGUCCCGCGUCAACAAGGUCAUCAUCGGCACUCACACAGUUAUGGCGAAUGGCGGACUCCAGGCAAUAUCAGGCACACAUAUCGUCGCGCAGGCUGCCAAGCACUAUUCCGUUCCAGUGUUGGUACUGCUACCCCUCUAUAAGCUGGCGCCUCUUUACCACUACUCAGGCAAACAGAGUGGCUUCAACUCUCUUGUAUCGCCGAUGGACGGCGUAAUCCACAGUGCUAACGCACCACUGCUGGAGCGGAUACAAACUUAUAAUCCCAUGUUUGAUUACGUUCCACCAGAUCUCGUCACGUUAUUCAUCUCAAACACGGGUGGAAACGCGCCAUCUUACGUGUAUAGAUUACUUAGCGAAUUAUACAAUCCUGAUGAUUACGAUUACAAUUAUACGAUUGUACAAUCCUGAACUAUGAGCAAUUAUGAACCUUACUCAUGAUCAUUUCUUCAAGCGAGAGCACAGACUUUUAUAGAAAAGAAUUGAUCAAUCAGGAUCCUUUAUUUCUCUUUCUAGAAUAAAAAGGACUCUUGUGUAAGGACAUUGUGAAAAAGUUUGCGAUCCUGCCUUUGCAAUAGUUUUAAGUAUAAUCUUCAGCACAUCAAAAUGGUUUAUUUAUAAAUUAUAAUAAUUUAAAUAUAAAAAUUCCCUAAAUGGGAAUUAAGUAAAUUAUCA
Monomorium pharaonis (pharaoh ant) is the source of this 1516-nucleotide RNA transcript. It is a transcript of the gene named translation initiation factor eIF-2B subunit beta, with no coding region annotated. Lineage: Eukaryota; Metazoa; Arthropoda; Insecta; Hymenoptera; Formicidae. The transcript has 7 exons. The record is from RefSeq and is a predicted model, not a curated record.